CAGAGCUAACCCGUCUCUGUUGCAAAAGAGUGGGAAAAUUUUCAAGUAGAGGUGACAGACCUACCGAACUUAGAGAUAGCUGGUUUUUUAAGAAAAGAAUUUUAGUUCUACUUUAAAUUUUUAUGUUAAACAAAAAUACAAUUGAAUUUAAAAGUUAUUCAAAUAAGGCACAGCUUAUUUGAAAUAGGAUACAACCUAGACCCCAGGGUAAGAUAAACAAAAUUUUGAUAAGUGGGCCUAAAAGCAGCCAUCUUUUAAAAAGCGUCAAAGCUUAGUAAUUAUAAUUUAUUUAAUAACUACAACUAUCUCUAACCCCCAUCUACUAUUAAAAAACUCCAUAACACUAUGGAAGCUAUUAUGCUAGAACAAGUAACAAGAAAAAGACUUUCUCCAAAAUGUAAGCUUAAGCCAUAAUAGACACCCUACUGGCAAUUAACACUUAUAAACCCUCUGUAACAACCCUGACAAGAAAACCUUACACCCUAUAAUGUUAACCUUACACCAG
RNAcentral lists this ribosomal RNA (505 nucleotides) under Boophis piperatus. Its description in RNAcentral is "partial 16S ribosomal RNA". The stretch from base 1 to 364 matches the Rfam family "Bacterial large subunit ribosomal RNA", at positions 770 to 1300 of the family's 2925-position model. Lineage: Eukaryota; Metazoa; Chordata; Amphibia; Anura; Mantellidae. The record is from RNAcentral.